ACGCUCGACACCUACGGGAGGCAGCAGUGGGGAAUAUUGCACAAUGGGGGAAACCCUGAUGCAGCGACGCCGCGUGAAGGAAGAAGUAUCUCGGUAUGUAAACUUCUAUCAGCAGGGAANAAAUGACGGUACCUGACUAAGAAGCCCCGGCUAACUACGUACCAGCAGCCGCGGUAAUCUGAGCGGGCUGGCAAGGC
This 197-nucleotide ribosomal RNA is filed under the name uncultured bacterium. RNAcentral's name for it is "partial 16S ribosomal RNA". It matches the Rfam family "Bacterial small subunit ribosomal RNA", at positions 328 to 539 of the family's 1533-position model. The record is from RNAcentral.